RNAcentral lists this transfer RNA (72 nucleotides) under Anaerolineae bacterium. Its description in RNAcentral is "tRNA-Val". It matches the Rfam family "tRNA". Rfam says of the family: Transfer RNA (tRNA) molecules are approximately 80 nucleotides in length. Lineage: Bacteria; Bacillati; Chloroflexota; Anaerolineae. The record is from RNAcentral.
GGGCGGUUAGCUCAAUGGCAGAGCGUCUGCUUGACGUGCAGAAGGUUGGAGGUUCGAGCCCUCCACCGCCCA